Molecule: ribosomal RNA, 615 nt
Filed under: Triticum aestivum (bread wheat)
Lineage: Eukaryota; Viridiplantae; Streptophyta; Magnoliopsida; Poales; Poaceae
Description: partial small subunit ribosomal RNA
Source: RNAcentral
AUGGCGGCGGUCAAGAUCGCCGUCCUCCUGGCCGUGACGACGCUCUUCGCCCCGGCAGGGGCGGCGGACCCCCAACCCGCGCAGGUCGCAACGGAAGCCCAGUGCUGGCCGUGCUACUCCUCCUGCAUGCACACGUGCGACGACGGCCACGGUGUCACCCCCGCCCCCGAUGUCAACCGUUCUCAGCCAGCCGCCCACCCAGCCGUCGACAAUGGUGCAGCGGCCGCCUCCGUCCCUGUCAACUCUACUGACGGCGCCCCCAUUGCUGACGGCUAUGACGAUUACAAAGGUGGCAACAAAAGUGACGGCGAGGGUUACUACGAGAAAUACUUCGAGUGCAAGAAGAAGUGCAUCGUCGAUUGCUACAAGGACCUGCCGCCGGUGUGCUACAAGAUGUGCAUCUCCGAGACCUGCCUCACCCUGCCACCAUGUAAACGAGGGGAUUGCUACAAAGCAUGCGGGAACAAAUGCUUCCACAACCAGCCCUACCCCGGGCCAAACCCGGGUCCGAAGCCGACGCCACCACCGCCCACACCUCCGAAGCCCGUGCCACCGCCACCGAAAGCCGGUGCCGAAGGCGAAGCAAAAGACGCCGUGCCCGUAACCGGCUACUAG